GGCCUCGUAGCUCAGCUGGUGGAGCAUGCGCGUACAAAGCGUAGGCGGUGUCCAUGCGUGGGUUCGAAUCCCACCGAGGCUA
This 82-nucleotide transfer RNA is filed under the name Echinostoma caproni. It matches the Rfam family "tRNA". From Rfam's summary of the family: Transfer RNA (tRNA) molecules are approximately 80 nucleotides in length. Their secondary structure includes four short double-helical elements and three loops (D, anti-codon, and T loops). The record is from Rfam by way of RNAcentral. Lineage: Eukaryota; Metazoa; Platyhelminthes; Trematoda; Plagiorchiida; Echinostomatidae.